Molecule: ribosomal RNA, 431 nt
Filed under: uncultured bacterium
Lineage: Bacteria
Description: bacterial SSU rRNA
Rfam family: Bacterial small subunit ribosomal RNA
Source: RNAcentral
UUGAACGCUGGCGGCGUGGUUAAAGCAUGCAAGUCGAACGGACUAGCAAUAGUCAGUGGCGAAAGGGUGAGUAAUAGUAUCGAACGUGCCCCGAGGUGGGGGAUAGGCAUUGGAAACGGUGCGUAAUACCCCAUGAUGUCGAAAGACCAAAGGCUUGCCGCCUUGGGAUCGGCGAUACUCCUAUCAGGUAGUUGGUGAGGUAAUGGCUCACCAAGCCAAAGACGGGUAGCAGGUGUGAGAGCACGGCCUGCCACAUCGGGACUGAGACACUGCCCGGACUCCUACGGGAGGCUGCAGCGACGAAUCUUCCGCAAUGGACGAAAGUCUGACGGAGCGACGCCGCGUGCGGGAUGAAGCGGCUUUGCCGUGUAAACCGCUGUCAGGAGAUAGAAACAAUGAUCAUCUCCAGAGGAAGGGCCGGCUAACCCUGU